This 2750-nucleotide long non-coding RNA is filed under the name Paramuricea clavata. Lineage: Eukaryota; Metazoa; Cnidaria; Anthozoa; Malacalcyonacea; Plexauridae. The record is from RNAcentral.
CAAACUUAAAAUCCAUUCCAUUUAAGGUGGUCCUAAGUUGAAAACAGUGUUAGUCGUGACGUAAUUACCGGAAAGGACUAUUCAGUCCUAGGACUGGAGGAAAAUUAACGCAAUCUUAAUAUUUGUUUAGGUUACCUUACGCUAGUAUCUUUGGAGGCGUUGGUGCUUUUACCAAAGAACAGUUUGAGAAAAUAAAUGGGUUUUCAAAUAAAUUUUGGGGUUGGGGUGGCGAAGACGAUGACUUAUACAAAAGGUAAUAAUAUUGUUCAGUUUCUGUGAUCAACUUCAGGAAUUUUGAAACUUGGAUUAACUUUCUUUCAAUUCAUAUUCUAAUUCCACAAAAGUACACGUAUAAUGUACAUCAAAUUUUUUCGUACAUUUAUAGUUGAUAAAGCUAGUACACACGUAAAAACCUCACAUCUUGUAGCAAGUCUGCCAACCAGCCGUCAACAAGUUGUGUUCGCACUGCUUGUCCCAAGUUGUCAACAAGUUUGAGUCUUUGAGAACAAGCUGUUAACAACUUGUAACAAGCUUGAUGGCAUUAUCAGACUUGUUGCAAGGUUGUUCCAACAAGUCCGAUACAGUCAUGAUAUAACAAUAUUGUUACAACCUUGUGUCGCCAAUCUUGUAACGUUCUUGUUAUUAUAUAUCAUGACUGUAUCGGACUUGUUAGAACAGCCUUGUAACAAGUCUGAUAAUGCCAUCAAGCUUGUUACAAGUUGUCAACAGCUUGUUACAACAACUGGGAACAAGCAAUGCGAACACAACUUGUCGACAGCUUGUGAACAGAUUUGUAACAACUUGUUUGCAGACCUGUAACAAAUUGUGCGUUUUUAUGUGUGUACAUUGUAAACUUUUCCCCUUUGAAUUCAAAUCGCGUUUUAAUUAAUUUUUAAGAUGGAAUGUUCCAUUCAACUCGGCUGUCGCCUCGUUGAAUGGAACAUUCCAUCUUUUCAUCUCAUGAAAAUAUUCUUACCAUUGCACUCAUAAACAUUCAUUAUUUGUAUAUUAUUUAUGUGAAUGACAUUUCCAGGGUAAGGGUUCUGGGUCAUUUUCAUUAUAUUUUGUGAAGAGCUUAUUUUCCUUGAUGAAUGAUGUUUAAAUUUUUAGUUUUGACUCUUUUUGAUAAAAUAAGAAAAUUUGAAAUUCUAGCCUAUAAACAGGUUCUUGUUUAAAGGGGCUCUAAAUAGAAUUUUUUAGUCUAACAGGUUCUUAAAUUCUCGGUUCUUAUAUGCGGGGAUUUACUGUACUGCUCUCAUAAUUCUAUAUAUAAAUGUUGUUGCAGGAUUCGUGCGGCAAACUACACGUUGUCGAGACCAAUGAUCGCGUUGGGUCGUUACACAAUGCUGAAAGUUGGUCAUAAGAGUGCUGCAGGGGACCGUACAAGGUUUGUAAAUAUCCCAGUGGAGCUGUAAGAGAUAGCCAUUUCUGGAUCAGUUUGGAGUUAUCCAGUAUAAAUAAAGUCAUAGUUAGUUUAGUAUAGAUUAGUUUAGUUGAGGUUUCCUCCCACAGUAACACUGGAUCAAUAAGGAUGUUCUUACUCAGUGUUUUUUUCAGGAUUUUCUCUUGGGGGCUUUUAUUGCAGAGAANNNNNNNNNNNNNNNNNNNNCCCCCCCCCCCCCCCUACCGGGGGGCUGACACGUGUACUCAAUAAAUGUAGUUGAGACGGAAUGUGUUAAAGCAGGGGCACUGAGGGACACUAUAAACUGGUUAAAGAUGGCGAAUGCAUAGUUUUUCUUGUGUUGUGAGAUGAAUUCCAGCCAUAACGUUUUACAUACAUUACAUACAAAGAACAGUUUCGAAAAGAAUAUAGAAUUAUCCAGUAUAUAGAGUUAAAUUUGUGUCCCUCCAGAGGAAAGGCGUGUUAAUGGAUUAAAAUUCAUUUAGGCAUGAAAAACUGAGAACUUCAGCGCAGAGGAUGGCGACAGAUGGACUAAACUCCCUGAAAUACGACGUCGUCAAGACAGACGAAUACCAACUGUACACGCAAAUUACAGUAAACGUUGACCCUGACGCGGUCUGAUUAUCUUGUGGUAGUUUACAGGAUGUCCUAGGUUGACAGAAUUAUGAGUUCAUCAGCUGUCGUGGAAGUCCUGGAUAAGAGCUGGUGCUGAGUCCCCCCCCCCCCCCCCCNNNNNNNNNNNNNNNNNNNNCACACUCCCCUGUCGCUCCUUACCUUUUCCUCGUAUUGACCCGUGGCAAAAAUUGCACAAUAUGGAGUUCGGCGAUGGAAAUAGUAUCGGAUCACGGGAACGUUUGGUCCCAGAAAAUUUUGGAGUUAUCAGAAAAUUUUUUGAGUUCUAGAAGAUUUUGGAGUUCUCAGAAGAUUUUGGAGUUAUCAAAUAAUUUUGGCGUUCACAGAAAAUUUUUGAGUUAUCAGAAAAUUUUUUGAGUUAGGAUAGGAUAGGAUAGGAUAAAACUUUAUUUGACUACGCUGGCCACUUCAACCAUAGCUGCUUUCCAAGUGGGGCGUAGAUAAAUGUUACAAAAAUAUAUAAAAUACAAAAUCACUAAGAAAAUUAAGAACUACGAAUACAAAUACAUAUUACAAAACAAAUGGUAUACAAAACUCAAAUAGCUAAUUCGUCAGACUAACAGAGGAAAUAUUUCUAUUGAAAGAAUUUAAAGAUUCGCUGUUUCUUACUUGUUCAGGAAUGCUAUUCCAGAUUUUAACCCCACUAUAUCGAAAACAUUUUCUGCCAUACUCGGUAUUUGGUCGUGGCAGAAAGAGAGACGCAUUUGAACCUCGU